Molecule: ribosomal RNA, 492 nt
Filed under: uncultured bacterium
Lineage: Bacteria
Description: bacterial SSU rRNA
Rfam family: Bacterial small subunit ribosomal RNA
Source: RNAcentral
CAGGCCUAACACAUGCAAGUCGAACGGCAUCGCGGGAAAGCUUGCUUUCCUGGCGGCGAGUGGCGAACGGGUGAGUAACACAUCGGAACGUACCGGCUAGUGGGGGAUAACCCGUCGAAAGACGGGCUAAUACCGCAUACGCUCUUCGGAGGAAAGCAGGGGACCUUCGGGCCUUGCGCUAGUCGAGCGGCCGAUGUCCGAUUAGCUAGUUGGUGGGGUAAAGGCCUACCAAGGCGACGAUCGGUAGCGGGUCUGAGAGGACGAUCCGCCACACUGGGACUGAGACACGGCCCAGACUCCUACGGGAGGCAGCAGUGGGGAAUCUUGGACAAUGGGGGCAACCCUGAUCCAGCAAUGCCGCGUGGGUGAAGAAGGCCUUCGGGUUGUAAAGCCCUUUCGGCAGGGAAGAAAUCGGCGGGGCGAAUAACCCUGCUGGAUGACGGUACCUGCAGAAGAAGCACCGGCUAACUACGUGCCAGCAGCCGCGGUAAU